AUGAGCAAAAUCUCAACUUUAUUAGAAGAGACGCAUUUAUUAGAUAAAAAGCCAGUUCAUGCUUUUACAGCAUGAAAAUUGGUGAUUUAUAAUAACUUAGCAAAUCGCAAAGUGAAAACAGGCGAUAAAUCAUUCAAGUUUCUGACCUAUCAGCUUUCGACGGUAUGGUAUUGGCUUACCGUGGCAGUGACGGUUAACGGGGGAUUAGGGUUCGAUUCCGGAGAGGGAGCCUGAGAAACGGCUACCACAUCUAAGGAAGGCAGCAGGCGCGCAAAUUACCCAAUUCUAACAGUUUGAGAGAGGUAGUAACAAGAAAUAACAAUACAAGGCAGUUAAAAUGCUUUGUAAUUGGAAUGAUAGAAAUUUAAACCCUUUUUAAAGUAUCAAUUGGAGGGCAAGUCUGGUGCCAGCAGCCGCGGUAAUUCCAGCUCCAAUAGCGUAUAUUAAAAUUGUUGCAGUUAAAAAGCUCGUAGUUGAAGUUCUGCUGAAAGUAACCGGUCUGCUUUUAAUAAAAGUGGUAUCUUGGUAUGUAUUUAGCAAUGAUGUCCUUUGAAGUGUUUUUUACUUUAUUGUAAUAAGGCAUAUUCAGGACUUUUACUUUGAGAAAAUUAGAGUGUUUCUAGCAAGCUGACGCUUUGAAUACUGCAGCAU
This 651-nucleotide ribosomal RNA is filed under the name Hepatozoon canis. RNAcentral's name for it is "bacterial SSU rRNA". It matches the Rfam family "Eukaryotic small subunit ribosomal RNA", at positions 171 to 810 of the family's 1831-position model. The record is from RNAcentral. Lineage: Eukaryota; Apicomplexa; Hepatozoidae.